AUUCCAGCUCCAAUAGCGUAUAUUAAUGUUGUUGCAGUUAAAAAGCCCGUAGUUGGAUUUCUGGUCGGGACGUCUGGCCGGCUCCGCAAGGGGUCGUUGCAUUGACUGUACUCGUCCAUCCUCAGGUUGACUAGCUCUGGUAUUUAUUUAUCGGUGUUAGAACGCCUGUCGUUUACUGUGAACAAAUUAGAGUGUUCAAAGCAAGGUGUACUUGAAUACAUUAGCAUGGAAUAAUAAGAUAGGACUUUGGUGGUUCUUUUUGAUAUUUUGUUGGUUUGCACGCCAAAGUAAUGAUUAAUAGGAGCAGUUGGGGGUAUUCGUAUUCAAUUGUCAGAGGUGAAAUUCUUGGAUUUAUAGAAGACGAACUACUGCGAAAGCAUUUACCAAGGAUGUUUUCAUCG
RNAcentral lists this ribosomal RNA (401 nucleotides) under Pedinellales sp. RNAcentral describes it as "partial small subunit ribosomal RNA". It matches the Rfam family "Eukaryotic small subunit ribosomal RNA", at positions 582 to 975 of the family's 1831-position model. The record is from RNAcentral. Lineage: Eukaryota; Dictyochophyceae; Pedinellales.